GGGUGAAUGUCCGAACGGCUAAGGGACCGGUCUUGAAAACCGGCAAAGCGAAAGCUCUCAGGGUUCGAAUCCCUGUUCACCCGCCA
This 86-nucleotide transfer RNA is filed under the name Leptotrichia sp. oral taxon 212. RNAcentral's name for it is "tRNA-Ser". It matches the Rfam family "tRNA". Rfam says of the family: Transfer RNA (tRNA) molecules are approximately 80 nucleotides in length. Their secondary structure includes four short double-helical elements and three loops (D, anti-codon, and T loops). The record is from RNAcentral. Lineage: Bacteria; Fusobacteriati; Fusobacteriota; Fusobacteriia; Fusobacteriales; Leptotrichiaceae.